This 499-nucleotide ribosomal RNA is filed under the name uncultured bacterium. RNAcentral's name for it is "partial 16S ribosomal RNA". It matches the Rfam family "Bacterial small subunit ribosomal RNA", at positions 28 to 507 of the family's 1533-position model. The record is from RNAcentral.
GACGAACGCUGGCGGCGUGCCUAAUACAUGCAAGUCGAGCGAAGUUUUUCUGGUGCUUGCACCGGAAAAACUUAGCGGCGAACGGGUGAGUAACACGUAAAGAACCUGCCUCAUAGACUGGGACAACUAUUGGAAACGAUAGCUAAUACCGGAUAACAGCAUUAACUGCAUGGUUGAUGUUUAAAAGUUGGUUUUGCUAACACUAUGAGAUGGCUUUGCGGUGCAUUAGCUAGUUGGUGGGGUAAAGGCCUACCAAGGCGACGAUGCAUAGCCGACCUGAGAGGGUGAUCGGCCACACUGGGACUGAGACACGGCCCAGACUCCUACGGGAGGCAGCAGUAGGGAAUCUUCCGCAAUGGGCGAAAGCCUGACGGAGCAACGCCGCGUGAGUGAAGAAGGAUUUCGGUUCGUAAAGCCCUGUUGUUAGGGAAGAAUGAUUGUGUAGUAACUAUACACAGUAGAGACGGUACCUAACCAGAAAGCCACGGCUAACUACGUG